GUGAGUAGUUCAGAGUUUGUCCUGCUCAGGAUGAACGCUAGCUACAGGCUUAACACAUGCAAGUCGAGGGGCAGCGCAGUGUAGCAAUACAUGGGCGGCGACCGGCGCACGGGUGCGUAACGCGUAUCCAACCUUCCCGUUACUCUCGGAUAGCCUUCCGAAAGGGAGAUUAAUACGAGAUGGUGUUGAAAUUCCGCAUGUUAUUUCAACUAAAGAUUCAUCGGUAACGGAUGGGGAUGCGUGACAUUAGGUAGAUGGCGGGGUAACGGCCCACCAUGCCCACGAUGUCUAGGGGUUCUGAGAGGAAGGUCCCCCACACUGGAACUGAGACACGGUCCAG
This 340-nucleotide ribosomal RNA is filed under the name uncultured bacterium. RNAcentral's name for it is "bacterial SSU rRNA". It matches the Rfam family "Bacterial small subunit ribosomal RNA", at positions 1 to 334 of the family's 1533-position model. The record is from RNAcentral.